AUAAAAGAUAUCUGGUUGAUCCUGCCUGAACUGAUGUGUUCAUUUCAAAGAUUAAGCCAUGCAUGUAUAAGUUUAAUCGUUUUAACGAGAAACCGCGUACGGCUCAUUAGAA
RNAcentral lists this ribosomal RNA (112 nucleotides) under Meloidogyne enterolobii. RNAcentral's name for it is "partial 18S ribosomal RNA". It matches the Rfam family "Eukaryotic small subunit ribosomal RNA", at positions 1 to 106 of the family's 1831-position model. The record is from RNAcentral. Lineage: Eukaryota; Metazoa; Nematoda; Chromadorea; Rhabditida; Meloidogynidae.